Molecule: long non-coding RNA, 1236 nt
Organism: Dermochelys coriacea (leatherback sea turtle)
Lineage: Eukaryota; Metazoa; Chordata; Testudines; Dermochelyidae
Exons: 3
Source: RefSeq, a predicted model, not a curated record
AGCACCAGCAUUGUAGUACUGGAAGCUGAUCUCAUCUACAAUGGCAUUGCACGAGGAGAGAGGCAAUCUCAAAGGUGCAGAGUACAUUUAUAGCCAACAUGCCACUCCCAUAAAACACACCAACUACAUAGUGCUGAAAUAUGGCUGCCAUUAACAGGUGUGAUCUGACAGAACAGCUCUAGCCACUUUUGGAUGUUACUGGUCUUCUGAAUCUCCCACCUCCACAGGAAGAAGGUUGCAGCUUUUUGUGUCAUCACAACGUUUUCCUUUGGAGUUUCCACCAGCAAGAUCUAUGCUGGAGUGUACAUCUGCAGAAGUCAUCAUGUGGUGCUGAAACCAUCAUCUUGGCCAACACAAUGGGGAUUGAACUGGAGACUUCUAAAGGAAAAAAGCAGCUACUGCUAGUGCCAGGACUGUAAUAGACUUAUUUAGCCUCUUCAGAUCUGGUACAGCUGUAAAACACACUUACCAGUGGGUUACACUGCCUCUGUGGCUCGAACUGGUUUCUGCCACAGCUUGUAUGAAAAACUGCUGCAAAGACUGUUCAAAAAUAGUAGUGCAUAAUAUUGUGCCUCUUACAUGGCAUAGACAGUGUAGUUGUGCAGGCAGACAAGGGAGGGGGCCCAUGGGAGUACAGCAUUGCCAUAAAGAGAGGUUGAGGAUUAAGGAAGGCACAAGCUGCCUGGGAACACCAAGCAAAUGCAACCUCCUAUAAACAAAAGCACUUAGUGGCAUAUGCAGGCAGAUAGAAGGGAUGUGAUGGGGAUAGGAAUGAGGGAGAACAGGAACAAUAACAGGAAACCAGGACACUCACCCAAGCACAGAACAAACCAGCGAGCACCUACCUCUGUGUUUGCUUUAGGACUGUAUGAGGUAAAGGGAAGUGCUUUAUGCUUGGUCUCAUAUCUUGCUAAAAGUAUCACAAAAUUACUCUCAAACAUAUUUUAAUUGUUGUUGCCACUCCUGCAAUUCACAUCCUAGCUUUUCCAACAUUAGAAAGGUGUGGUAGACCAGUUUCAUAUUAGAGAAGGAAGAAAGGUACUUAUUAAUACAAAAUAGUCACAAAAAGUCUGAAAGUUCAGUACAAAGUACUGCCAUUGGGUGUGUUUUGUGAUUUUUUUAUUUAAUAAUCAGUACAGUUACAAUGACUAGUGCUAAGCCAGAAGGCCUUUAAACACAUGAAUGUGCACAAGUGUGUGUGUCUGUGUGUGUAAUGCUUUAAGGAAUGUAUAAAUG